CAGCAAAAAUGCUGCGCGGCAUUAAUUUAUGAAAAAUGCGACAGUAUUUUUGACAAUUUGACGAAAACUGUGGACUAAUUUCGUAAUUUCUGAAUUGUUAGUAUAAAUACCCCUCCGAACGAGAUUUCCUCAUUUUUUUCGUUCUCUUCUCUCUCCUCUUCGUGAGCUUCUCACUCCACUCCCGAAAAAACCUUUUGCUAGGGUUUCGUCCGCCCCUCCGCCGUCGCCUUUGCGCGAUUUUUCUCCACCGCCACCGUGAAGAAGACCUUGAUAACGGCGCGGUGAAGAUCUGGGAGAGGCACCUUUCAGCCAAGGUGAGGAGGACGGUCGAAGGUCUCUGCUACCAUCGUGAGGAGGACGGUCAGAGAGCGUCUCCUCGCUGCAGCAGUCUUGGGUUGUUGCGAAGAGAAAAAAAACUUAGGUAGGCGGACACCAGCUGGCUAAAGGGUCUUGGGUUGUCGUAAGAGAAAAAACGACCACCAGAGUCUCGGCCAAAAAUUUUUAAGUGACUAGCGCACUCCAUCCCGUGAGAUCGAAGAGACGGUUAUCUUGAGACCAACGGAAGAAGGGAUCAGAAUUUGUUCCAAGAUCUCCAUUGCAGUUAUAGAGGGAAAGGGAUGGGGCUCAAGGCCACUACCCAACAGAUGUUUAAUACUGGCAGACAAGUAAGUAGCACGAGGCUGAGGCUAAAGGAAGACGAUGCUCUUGGAGAAAAUGUGGUAGAAAUAGAGUGAGUGUCAAAUAUUAAAGAGAGUUUCGGUCUAAGUCGACGCUCCCUCCUGAGAGAAAGUUACUCCAGUAAAUUGGUGUCCGACUAUUUACCCCAGUAAAUUGUUGGGCGUCCUCCUGCCCAUCUCCAGCCCAUUACGUGAAGCCCAUUUACCAUAGCAACCCAAAAACGCACAGUGGCAUCGAGGUAUGCAUCUCUCUUUCUCUCCCGCUCAGCUGAUUGGGUAUGCAAGCGUAUAGAAGGCACAUCCCAUGUUUGAUUAUUAUAGAUUCUACUCUUUUAGAUCGCCAAAGGUAGACAUGCAAGUGUAUAAAAGAUAUGUCACAUGUUUGAUUCUUGUGGAUUAUACUCUCUUAAAUCGCCAAAAGUGGUGGGAUUGCGACAUUCAAAUUGAUGAGUGUACCAUACUUUACCUAAGUCCCAAUGCAGCAUAAGACUUGGGAGACCGGGGCAAUGGAGGGAACGUCGGGUCUUGUUGAGGAGGUGGGUUGCAUAAUUUUGUGUUGUCAAUAUGCAUCACGCCUGUUUUGUAAUGAAACAAUAAAUAAAAAUAAAAAUUAAAGUUAACCUUAUAUACUUGUUAAA
Nymphaea colorata (pocket water lily) is the source of this 1315-nucleotide long non-coding RNA. RefSeq lists it as uncharacterized. The record is from RefSeq and is a predicted model, not a curated record. The transcript has 2 exons. NCBI's taxonomy places the organism in Eukaryota, Viridiplantae, Streptophyta, Magnoliopsida, Nymphaeales, Nymphaeaceae.